AUGGUAUCAGUGGUAGGGGAGCGUUCUAAGUGCAGUGAAGUCAGACCGGAAGGACUGGUGGAGCGCUUAGAAGUGAGAAUGCCGGUAUGAGUAGCGAAAGACGGGUGAGAAUCCCGUCCACCGAAUGCCUAAGGUUUCCUGAGGAAGGCUCGUCCGCUCAGGGUUAGUCAGGACCUAAGCCGAGGCCGACAGGCGUAGGCGAUGGACAACAGGUUGAUAUUCCUGUACCACCUCUUUAUCGUUUGAGCAAUGGAGGGACGCAGAAGGAUAGAAGAAGCGUGCGAUUGGUUGUGCACGUCCAAGCAGUUAGGCUGAUAAGUAGGCAAAUCCGCUUAUCGUGAAGGCUGAGCUGUGAUGGGGAAGCUCCUUAUGGAGCGAAGUCUUUGAUUCCCCGCUGCCAAGAAAAGCUUCUAGCGAGAUAAAAGGUGCCUGUACCGCAAACCGACACAGGUAGGCGAGGAGAGAAUCCUAAGGUGUGCGAGAGAACUCUGGUUAAGGAACUCGGCAAAAUGACCCCGUAACUUCGGGAGAAGGGGUGCUUUCUUAACGGAAAGCCGCAGUGAAUAGGCCCAAGCGACUGUUUAGCAAAAACACAGCUCUCUGCGAAGCCGUAAGGCGAAGUAUAGGGGGUGACACCUGCCCGGUGCUGGAAGGUUAAGGAGAGGGGUUAGCGUAAGCGAAGCUCUGAACUGAAGCCCCAGUAAACGGCGGCCGUAACUAUAACGGUCCUAAGGUAGCGAAAUUCCUUGUCGGGUAAGUUCCGACCCGCACGAAAGGUGUAACGAUUUGGGCACUGUCUCAACCAGAGACUCGGUGAAAUUAUAGUACCUGUGAAGAUGCAGGUUACCCGCGACAGGACGGAAAGACCCCGUGGAGCUUUACUGUAGCCUGAUAUUGAAUUUUGGUACAGUUUGUACAGGAUAGGCGGGAGCCAUUGAAACCGGAGCGCUAGCUUCGGUGGAGGCGCUGGUGGGAUACCGCCCUGACUGUAUUGAAAUUCUAACCUACGGGUCUUAUCGACCCGGGAGACAGUGUCAGGUGGGCAGUUUGACUGGGGCGGUCGCCUCCUAAAGUGUAACGGAGGCGCCCAAAGGUUCCCUCAGAAUGGUUGGAAAUCAUUCGUAGAGUGCAAAGGCAUAAGGGAGCUUGACUGCGAGACCUACAAGUCGAGCAGGGACGAAAGUCGGGCUUAGUGAUCCGGUGGUUCCGCAUGGAAGGGCCAUCGCUCAACGGAUAAAAGCUACCCCGGGGAUAACAGGCUUAUCUCCCCCAAGAGUCCACAUCGACGGGGAGGUUUGGCACCUCGAUGUCGGCUCAUCGCAUCCUGGGGCUGUAGUCGGUCCCAAGGGUUGGGCUGUUCGCCCAUUAAAGCGGUACGCGAGCUGGGUUCAGAACGUCGUGAGACAGUUCGGUCCCUAUCCGUCGUGGGCGUAGGAAAUUUGAGAGGAGCUGUCCUUAGUACGAGAGGACCGGGAUGGACGCACCGCUGGUGUACCAGUUGUUCUGCCAAGGGCAUAGCUGGGUAGCUAUGUGCGGAAGGGAUAAGUGCUGAAAGCAUCUAAGCAUGAAGCCCCCCUCAAGAUGAGAUUUCCCAUAGCGUAAGCUAGUAAGAUCCCUGAAAGAUGAUCAGGUUGAUAGGUUCGAGGUGGAAGCAUGGUGACAUGUGGAGCUGACGAAUACUAAUAGAUCGAGGACUUAACCAU
Molecule: ribosomal RNA, 1703 nt
Filed under: Bacillus cereus
Lineage: Bacteria; Bacillati; Bacillota; Bacilli; Caryophanales; Bacillaceae
Also listed under: 2 other names
Description: partial 23S ribosomal RNA
Rfam family: Bacterial large subunit ribosomal RNA
Source: RNAcentral